GGAAAACACAGAAGACGAGGGCUGAAAGAUGGCAUUGGACUUGGCACAGGGAUGGUCAGGAGGUCCUGAGUCACUUUGAGAAGCACAGGAUGUGGUCUGGGAUCAGGUGUUGCAUCUGCUUGUUGUGUGUCUGUCAUCUCUGUCAAUCAGGAACAUUUUCCACAGCCUUUCUGUCACUUUCAUGACAUUGAUGUUUUGAAGAACAGUCUCUUUUAAUAAGUAGAUGUUUCCCCCUUUGGGGCGUGUCCAGGGACUCCUGUGAUAGGAUUCACUCGGGCACUCUUGGCUGGCGCCUGCCUGCGUGGGAUUGUGCUUCCUCAGGGCCUCACCUCGCCAGGUGCGGAGCAACGCUCUGCCCCCACGUUGGGAUGUGAGGUUGCCGACUCAGUGCAGAGCUGUUUGGCUUCUCCCGACUUUGGUUACCACUCACGACUAAUAAACCAUCUGCAAGAAGCCCCUGGAAGACCAUGCGGAAAUCCUGCAUCUUGUGACGUUUCCCCAGGACUUAGCCGUGGUUGGUUUCUGCCUUGACCCGUCUUUACUGUGAUGGCUGUAAGUGGUGCUUGUGCAGCUCCCAUGCAGACUUGGCCACCUGCUGGGAGCAGACCCCCCCCCCCCCCCCUUCUUCCUGGACUCCUGUGUCUUCAUUCACCGCUGUCCUAGUGUCUAAUUCAUCACUGUCCUCG
Molecule: long non-coding RNA, 686 nt
Filed under: Homo sapiens (human)
Lineage: Eukaryota; Metazoa; Chordata; Mammalia; Primates; Hominidae
Description: non-protein coding lnc-PCBP3-3:7
Source: RNAcentral